Molecule: ribosomal RNA, 906 nt
Filed under: uncultured Citrobacter sp.
Lineage: Bacteria; Pseudomonadati; Pseudomonadota; Gammaproteobacteria; Enterobacterales; Enterobacteriaceae
Description: bacterial SSU rRNA
Rfam family: Bacterial small subunit ribosomal RNA
Source: RNAcentral
GCAAGCGUUAAUCGGAAUUACUGGGCGUAAAGCGCACGCAGGCGGUCUGUCAAGUCGGAUGUGAAAUCCCCGGGCUCAACCUGGGAACUGCAUCCGAAACUGGCAGGCUAGAGUCUUGUAGAGGGGGGUAGAAUUCCAGGUGUAGCGGUGAAAUGCGUAGAGAUCUGGAGGAAUACCGGUGGCGAAGGCGGCCCCCUGGACAAAGACUGACGCUCAGGUGCGAAAGCGUGGGGAGCAAACAGGACUAGAUACCCUGGUAGUCCACGCCGUAAACGAUGUCGACUUGGAGGUUGUGCCCUUGAGGCGUGGCUUCCGGAGCUAACGCGUUAAGUCGACCGCCUGGGGAGUACGGCCGCAAGGUUAAAACUCAAAUGAAUUGACGGGGGCCCGCACAAGCGGUGGAGCAUGUGGUUUAAUUCGAUGCAACGCGAAGAACCUUACCUACUCUUGACAUCCAGAGAACUUAGCAGAGAUGCUUUGGUGCCUUCGGGAACUCUGAGACAGGUGCUGCAUGGCUGUCGUCAGCUCGUGUUGUGAAAUGUUGGGUUAAGUCCCGCAACGAGCGCAACCCUUAUCCUUUGUUGCCAGCGAUUCGGUCGGGAACUCAAAGGAGACUGCCAGUGAUAAACUGGAGGAAGGUGGGGAUGACGUCAAGUCAUCAUGGCCCUUACGAGUAGGGCUACACACGUGCUACAAUGGCAUAUACAAAGAGAAGCGACCUCGCGAGAGCAAGCGGACCUCAUAAAGUAUGUCGUAGUCCGGAUUGGAGUCUGCAACUCGACUCCAUGAAGUCGGAAUCGCUAGUAAUCGUGGAUCAGAAUGCCACGGUGAAUACGUUCCCGGGCCUUGUACACACCGCCCGUCACACCAUGGGAGUGGGUUGCAAAAGAAGUAGGUAGCUUAACC